UAAAUACUUAUUUAAUUGCUAAACUUGCAAUUUUAGAAAUAUUUAAACUUAAAAUCGUAAGAGAUGCAAUAUACUUACUGUUCGAGAAAUCAGUAUGAUGCUCGGCAUUUUAAUUAAUAUUUUCCCAAAUUUGCGGACAGCAGUGAAGGCAGCUAAAGAAAAAUAUUAGCCUACCGCUAAUUUAUUUGAAAAAAACAAAAAGAAUAAUAGUACGACACAACUUAUGAAGGAGAAGAAGCGAGUGAAUUUACAUAGUCUAAGAAAAAUAAGUCGAUAAGAUUUAUAAUGGCAAACCUCAAAUAUCACUAAGCAACCAACAAAAGAUAGUAACUCAAAAAGAUUAAAUGACAAUCGGUAAAUACAAAUCACGCUUAGUUUAUUAUAUUACUUUUAAGGGGAAAAUUAGUCGGAGUCGGAAUAAAAUUCAUCAGAUUCAGGAUCAAGCAUGGAGAGAUCAAGCUGGUAACGCAUAACAGCACCAAUACCACCAAAACCUUUGACAAAUUGCAUACCUUCCUGAGAUCGGUCAGAAACAAACUCUAAGUUAGCACCGUAAUCCUUGUAAUGUUCAGCAAGCCAUUCAGAGAGUAGCAUAGAGCUUACUAACUCCAUUUCAGCACCUGUAUCCUUAUCUAGCAAGAACGAAUUGGUAGAAUCCUUUUCCUCUUGCUCCUUAGUCAUAUAUGUAAUAACAGGAUUACCUUCUGAGUUCUUAAACUCAUAACGGAUCAUAUCAAGGUCUGCAAAACACAGAAGUGUUUCUACGGCACCUUCCUGAAGUGCAUUCAUAGUAUCAACGACACCAAAACAGUAUUUACCCGAAUCUAAGCUAAUUUCGUCGAAAAAGCGUUGUAUCAAUUUUUUCUCUUGGACAUAUUUCACAUUUGACAAAGUAUCAGCAGCCAAUUCUAUAGCCUGGUUAAAACCAGCGUCGCCACCGUACGAGACGUCUACAGUCUUGAUAAUACGAGAUUGAAGACGUUGGUCAAACAAGUCACUUUGACCGAGUUCCGUUUUAAAAUCAGCAGAACCAGCAAGAACAAUACCCGCAACAUUAGGUUUAUCAUCAGUAAUAAAAUGCUGCACAGCACCUUCAGCAACCUUUCGAACAUAGUUGUGACGUUUUUCAUCACGUAAACGGGCAAAACGAAGAGCAGAUUGACCACCACGUCCAUGUUUUUUAGGUAAAUCGACAGUGAAUCGUUGUAAAACCUCACGAGCACUACCAGAAACAACACCAUAUAAAGUUUGAUGACCGUCCAUAACAAUAAAUCCGAAGCGUUGAUCACUUUCAAGCAAUUCUGCUAAAGCUUCAGUAUGAAAUUUAUUAUCACAAAGAUAUUGCGAAGUAUUAAUUGGUUUGAAGGGUUCGAAAUCAAUGUUGAGCUUGCGUGUCUUAUUGCCCUCCAUUAUAACUUCACCGCAGUAAAUGACCAAUCCAUUAUCAGGGACUUUAUUGUACAAUUUCAAACGCUCACGAGUUGAAGUAAUUGCAGAUAGAACUGAUAAACGAUUCACACGAGAUUUAAUGUUAGAGGCAGUGCCAUACUCUUCGGCAAGCAUAUUGCUGUAUCUGGAUAUUUGUUCGCCAGGUGGGAUAAUUAACGUAAUCAUUGAGGUGCCGUUUCCAUGACAGUUAAUCAAUUGUUUUACCAAACGGCGAAUUUUCCAAAUUUCGAUAGCUUUCUCAGCAGUCUCACUCAUUUUGUAAAAUUUGUUUUAAAGUUUUUUAUACCCAAGGUUCUUGUACACACUAUGAAAAAUCCGAAAACCGAAAUCCUAUUUUUUUAUAACUUGAACAGACAGUUCAAGCAACGAAUUACCUC
This 1826-nucleotide long non-coding RNA is filed under the name Schizosaccharomyces pombe (fission yeast). Lineage: Eukaryota; Fungi; Ascomycota; Schizosaccharomycetes; Schizosaccharomycetales; Schizosaccharomycetaceae. The record is from RNAcentral.